Long non-coding RNA from Mastomys coucha (southern multimammate mouse), 272 nucleotides. RefSeq lists it as uncharacterized. NCBI's taxonomy places the organism in Eukaryota, Metazoa, Chordata, Mammalia, Rodentia, Muridae. The transcript has a single exon. The record is from RefSeq and is a predicted model, not a curated record.
UCCCCCGGGAGUGAGGGCUGCCGGGGCGGAUGACGUGGCCGGGUAACGUCCCUGCCGGUAAGGCCUCCGGGGAACGGCACUGCCGGAACAGCCCGCGGCCUAAUCCCGCCCAACGUGCGUGUGCCUGCCUGCCCGAACCCGGGCUAGCGGCGGAGACUGCUGAGCCUGCGAGGACGCUGCCGACAUGGGGGAGUGACGCGCCUGCGCCCGCGCUUCCGCAGCGGCGGCGAGACAUGAGGAGAGCCCGCGGCGCGGGCAGCGGCUCCUGAGCC